Molecule: ribosomal RNA, 482 nt
Filed under: uncultured bacterium
Lineage: Bacteria
Description: partial 16S ribosomal RNA
Rfam family: Bacterial small subunit ribosomal RNA
Source: RNAcentral
AUUGAACGCUGGCGGCAUGCCUUACACAUGCAAGUCGAACGGUAACGGGCCUUCGGGUGCCGACGAGUGGCGAACGGGUGAGUAAUACAUCGGAACGUGCCCGAUCGUGGGGGAUAACGAGGCGAAAGCUUUGCUAAUACCGCAUACGAUCUACGGAUGAAAGCAGGGGACCGCAAGGCCUCGCGCGGACGGAGCGGCCGAUGGCAGAUUAGGUAGUUGGUGGGAUAAAAGCUUACCAAGCCGACGAUCUGUAGCUGGUCUGAGAGGAUGAUCAGCCACACUGGGACUGAGACACGGCCCAGACUCCUACGGGAGGCAGCAGUGGGGAAUUUUGGACAAUGGGCGCAAGCCUGAUCCAGCCAUGCCGCGUGCAGGAUGAAGGCCUUCGGGUUGUAAACUGCUUUUGUACGGAACGAAAAGCCUUCUUUUAAUACAGGAGGGUCAUGACGGUACCGUAAGAAUAAGCACCGGCUAACUACGUG